This 203-nucleotide unclassified non-coding RNA is filed under the name Hevea brasiliensis (rubber tree). The record is from RNAcentral. Lineage: Eukaryota; Viridiplantae; Streptophyta; Magnoliopsida; Malpighiales; Euphorbiaceae.
UAUCACAGAUGACUCCAGGCCAUUGUAGAGAGAAAAUAAGAAUAGAAAUCAUUAGAGUUUUCUUGCUUCUUUCCAACUUACAGCUACCAGAAAAUCAAAAUUUCCAAGUCUUAUUACUGCUUCUCUUCCUCUGCUUUUAUUGAUCAUGGAGUCUCUAAAUUUGAAGAAAAAUAUGCCUAUUCUAUUGAUAAGAAAAAUUGCAA